GGAGAGUUGGCUGAGUGGUCGAAGGCGCACGACUGGAAAUCGUGUUUACGUUGAUAGCGUAACUAGGGUUCAAAUCCCUAACUCUCCGCCA
RNAcentral lists this transfer RNA (91 nucleotides) under bacterium. Its description in RNAcentral is "tRNA-Ser". It matches the Rfam family "tRNA". From Rfam's summary of the family: Transfer RNA (tRNA) molecules are approximately 80 nucleotides in length. RNAcentral also lists the same sequence under 6 other names. The record is from RNAcentral.